Molecule: long non-coding RNA, 391 nt
Organism: Helicoverpa armigera (cotton bollworm)
Lineage: Eukaryota; Metazoa; Arthropoda; Insecta; Lepidoptera; Noctuidae
Exons: 3
Source: RefSeq, a predicted model, not a curated record
UCUGCCACUGCCUCGGAAGCCUUUAUUAAGUGAGGCAACAUUAAACGCGCGACAAGACAGUUUGUUUCUCUGUUCCGUAGAGCUGUUUGAUGCAAAUCGACAUGAGAUUCCGUCUUGUUCUGCUUGCUAUUGUGGUUGCAGCCUCCGUCAGUGCAGGAAAGGUUAAACGAAGCAAUGAUUAUUUAAUCGAUUCAGCAAACCUCGGAGGCACGGUUACAUUUGGGGAGCGCGGUAUAUCAGACUGCUUGGCUGAGGGACACCCGGAGUGGAAGUGUUACACGGAACGUUCCGGCUUCAAUCCCCAGUGGCGGUAGCGUACAUGAGAUGGUAAUUAGUUUUAUUUAGAUCUAAGAUAUUAAGAAAUGUAAUUUAAGUAUAUGACUUAAUCUGA